This 325-nucleotide ribosomal RNA is filed under the name uncultured eukaryote. RNAcentral describes it as "partial 18S ribosomal RNA". It matches the Rfam family "Eukaryotic small subunit ribosomal RNA", at positions 1470 to 1796 of the family's 1831-position model. The record is from RNAcentral.
CCCUUAGAUGUUCUGGGCCGCACGCGCGCUACACUGAUGCAUUCAACGAGCCUAUCCUUGACCGACAGGUCCGGGUAAUCUUUGAAUCUGCAUCGUGACGGGGAUAGAUUAUUGCAAUUAUUAAUCUUCAACGAGGAAUGCCUAGUAGGCGCAAGUCAUCAGCUUGCGUCGAUUACCUCCCUGCCCUUUGUACACACCGCCCGUCGCUCCUACCGAUUGGGUGUGCUGGUGAAAUGUUCGGAUCGGCCGUUUGUCGCGGUUUCCGCGUCAUGUGGCUGAGAAGUUCAUUAAACCCUCCCACCUAGAGGAAGGAGAAGUCGUAACA